RNAcentral lists this ribosomal RNA (679 nucleotides) under Cladosporium flabelliforme. RNAcentral describes it as "partial 18S ribosomal RNA". The stretch from base 344 to 502 matches the Rfam family "5.8S ribosomal RNA". Lineage: Eukaryota; Fungi; Ascomycota; Dothideomycetes; Cladosporiales; Cladosporiaceae. The record is from RNAcentral.
GGACCGGGUGCCUUUGAAAAACUAAUAUGAGUCGCUGGCUUCGGGGAUUCAACUACUUAUCUCGAGGUGUAGAGCGCCUGCCGCCUGCGCGUGAUUAUAUUCUGUCGUACCUCCCCCUGGGGUACCCUUUGUGGAAAGUAAAGUCGUAACAAGGUCUCCGUAGGUGAACCUGCGGAGGGAUCAUUACAAGUGACCCCGGUUUUACCACCGGGAUGUUCAUAACCCUUUGUUGUCUGACUCUGUUGCCUCCGGGGCGACCCUGCCUUCGGGGCGGGGGCUCCGGGGUGGACACUUCAAACUCUUGCGUAACUUUGCAGUCUGAGUAAAUUAAUUAAUAAAUUAAAACUUUUAACAACGGAUCUCUUGGUUCGGGCAUCGAUGAAGAACGCAGCGAAAUGCGAUAAAGUAAUGUGAAUUGCAGAAUUCAGUGAAUCCAUCGAAUCUUUUGAACGCACAUUGCCGCCCCCCUGGUAUUCCGGGGGGCAUGCCUGUUCGAGCGGUCAUUUCACCACUCAAGCCUCGCUUGGUAUUGGGCAACGCGGUCCGCCGCGUGCCUCAAAUCGACCGGCUGGGUCUUCUGUCCCCUAAGCGUUGUGGAAACUAUUCGCUAAAGGGUGUUCGGGAGGCUACGCCGUAAAACAACCCCAUUCUAAGGUGACCUCGAUCACUGAGUUCCCCG